CGGACCGGCGCACGGGUGAGUAACGCGUAUGCAACUUACCUAUCAGGAGGGGAUAACCCGGCGAAAGUCGGACUAAUACCGCAUGAAGCAGGGGCCCCGCAUGGGGAUAUUUGCUAAAGAUUCAUCGCUGAUAGAUAGGCAUGCGUUCCAUUAGGCAGUUGGCGGGGUAACGGCCCACCAAACCGACGAUGGAUAGGGGUUCUGAGAGGAAGGUCCCCCACAUUGGUACUGAGACACGGUCCAA
Molecule: ribosomal RNA, 244 nt
Filed under: uncultured bacterium
Lineage: Bacteria
Description: partial 16S ribosomal RNA
Rfam family: Bacterial small subunit ribosomal RNA
Source: RNAcentral